GUGCUGCUUUAUUUAGUUAAGCAUCUCUCUCUCCCAGGAAAAUUUUCAGUGAGAAAAGUUUUCUAAAAAUAUCAAGAGAAAAGACUUCAGGAAGUGCACUGCCAACAGUCAUUAUAGAAGGAGACUCUUCUUCCAAAAAAUGACAUUUCUCCUCCUACUACAAUUUCUCUCUAGCUUCCAGCAUGGCAGGAAGCCUCCAAGUCAAGGCCUGCAGGGUUUCCCAUAACCCACUGGUUGAGGAAGAGAAUGGAGCCUUGAUGAGAAACAAAUCAGAAUGUGAUGCUGGAACUAGGCAGAAGUGAACGUUACUACAUCACAUUCCCCAGCCGCGGUGGUAGAGAGCAAUCCUGGCCCACCGAGAAUUCGGGACCGACAGCACUGCUGAAGGAGAGGCAGACGGUGGGGAGAUCUGCUGAGGAAGAGUACGAUAGUCUCCCGGCCUGGGAAGGGUAACUGAAGCACAGAGACAUUACAUAGCAGGCCCAAGGUCACUCAACUGGCAUUUAAUGCUCUCUUCCCAGAUGUCAAGCCUACUACUGUGGGGUGAGGAUACUAAUAAGAAAAGACAUCCCGGAGAUCACGGAGAAUAAAAGAGCCUAAUAAAUAAGCAAAGAAACUCAACCAAUGUAUUAUAACUCUAAAUUGCCAACUGAGUUAUACUUGACCCAGCUUUUAACCUGCUUACUUUUCAGGAUUAUAAAAACAGUAAACCAUUGAAAUAUUUUGAUAAGAAGUUUAGCCCACAAAAAUGAAUUAAAUGCCUACUAAGUAUCAGACACUGUCCUAAAAACUGCUGAUGUUUAUUUUAGAUUGUAAUAGAUGGGUAUUUGUAAGGAGAAAUUCACUCACAUUCCUACCUCUUCACUUCCAUUGAAAAGAUAUUUGUCUUAUUCAUUGCUUUGCAGCUUGAGUUCCUAUGACCAGUGACAUAUGAGCAGAAAUCAUGCACAUUUUCUAAGAUUUAAAAAGCCUCCACCAAUCAGGCACAGUGGUAGAUGCCUAUAAUCCCAGCACUGAGGUGGUGUGAAGCAGGAGGGCCACAAGUUCAAGGCUAGUGAG
Molecule: long non-coding RNA, 1059 nt
Organism: Heterocephalus glaber (naked mole-rat)
Lineage: Eukaryota; Metazoa; Chordata; Mammalia; Rodentia; Bathyergidae
Source: Ensembl